AGUGAACGCUGGCGGUAGGCCUAAUACAUGCAAGUCGAACGGCAGCACAGGAGAGCUUGCUCUCUGGGUGGCGAGUGGCGGACGGGUGAGGAAUACAUCGGAAUCUACUUUUUCGUGGGGGAUAACGUAGGGAAACUUACGCUAAUACCGCAUACGACCUACGGGUGAAAGCAGGGGACCUUCGGGCCUUGCGCGAUUGAAUGAGCCGAUGUCGGAUUAGCUAGUUGGCGGGGUAAAGGCCCACCAAGGCGACGAUCCGUAGCUGGUCUGAGAGGAUGAUCAGCCACACUGGAACUGAGACACGGUCCAGACUCCUACGGGAGGCAGCAGUGGGGAAUAUUGGACAAUGGGCGCAAGCCUGAUCCAGCCAUACCGCGUGGGUGAAGAAGGCCUUCGGGUUGUAAAGCCCUUUGUUGGGAAAGAAAUCCAGCUGGCUAAUACCCGGUUGGGAUGACGGUACCCAAAGAAUAAGCACCGGCUAACUUCGUGCCAGCAGCCGCCGUAA
RNAcentral lists this ribosomal RNA (505 nucleotides) under uncultured bacterium. Its description in RNAcentral is "partial 16S ribosomal RNA". It matches the Rfam family "Bacterial small subunit ribosomal RNA", at positions 29 to 523 of the family's 1533-position model. The record is from RNAcentral.